UUACGUCGAUAGACGCACUUGAUGCAGUGCCUACACAGAUUGUUUUGUUUAUUUAUAAAGACGCGAUUAAUUGCUUAACCGGAAGGGAACCUUCCUGACAAUUAAUCUGCUCGCUAAAGAAGAGCGCUUAGCUUUGAUUUAAGAUCAAACCUAAGUGUUUUGAAUUAAGCACUAUGUUCUUUAACAAUUUGGAAAGCUGAUAUUAAUAGUAAUCAAUCAAAAUUGAGUAACUGAGAAAUCGAAAGAUGAACUUUUUACUCUACUUGACUGAAUUGCUUGUUAUCAAUUUAUUGAUAGCAAGGCAAUUCUUCCGAUUAGCUUGUCAUUCAUGCAACAUAACUUAGGCAGAAGUCAAAAGGCUGUUUGGGGUUGUAUGGUUAAGUGACGAAGCGUAUACGGUGGAUGCCUUGGC
This 412-nucleotide unclassified non-coding RNA is filed under the name uncultured Gammaproteobacteria bacterium. RNAcentral describes it as "partial 16S-23S ribosomal RNA intergenic spacer". Lineage: Bacteria; Pseudomonadati; Pseudomonadota; Gammaproteobacteria. The record is from RNAcentral.